UUGGGGAGCUCUCCCCAUAAUGGUCCGACCUGCCAGGCGCCGCGAAGUCAACUAGUGAUUACGGGGGCGCAGCAGGCGCGAAAACGCUGACAAUGCGGGAAACCGUGAUAAGGGAACACCGAGUGCCAGCAUCAUAUGCUGGCUGUCCAGAUGUGUAAACUACAUCUGUUAGCAAGGGCCGGGCAAGACCGGUGCCAGCCGCCGCGGUAACACCGGCGGCCCGAGUGGUGACCGUUAUUAUUGGGUCUAAAGGGUCCGUAGCCGGUUUGGUCAGUCCUCCGGGAAAUCUGAUAGCUCAACUAUUAGACUUUCGGGGGAUACUGCCAGGCUUGGAACCGGGAGAGGUAAGAGGUACUACAGGGGUAGGAGUGAAAUCUUGUAAUCCCUGUGAGACCACCUGUGGCGAAGGCGUCUUACCAGAACGGGUUCGACGGUGAGGGACGAAAGCUGGGGGCACGAACCGGAUUAGAUACCCGGGUAGUCCCAGCCGUAAACUAUGCUCGCUAGGUGUCACGGCAUAGGCGCGACCGUGUCUUGGUGCCGCAGUGAAGCCCGUGAAAGCGAGCCACCUGGGAAGUACGGCCGCAAGGCUGAAACUUAAAGGAAUUGGCGGGGGAGCACAACAACGGGUGGAGCCUGCGGUUUAAUUGGACUCAACGCCGGACAACUCACCGGGGACGACAGCAAUAUGUAGGCCAGGCUGAAGACCUUGCCUGAAUCGCUGAGAGGAGGUGCAUGGCCGUCGCCAGUUCGUACUGUGAAGCAUCCUGUUAAGUCAGGCAACGAGCGAGACCCGUGCCCACUGUUACCAGCAUAUCCUCCGGGAUGAUGGGUACUCUGUGGGGACCGCUGAUGUUAAAUCAGAGGAAGGUGCGGGCCACGGUAGGUCAGUAUGCCCCGAAUUUCCCGGGGCUACACGCGGGGCUACAAUGAAUGGGACAAUGGGGUCCCUACCUGAAAAGGUUGGUAAUCUCACAAAACCNAUCCGUAGAUCCGGAAUUGAGGGGCUGUAACUCGCCCUCAUGAAGCUGGGAAUCCGUAGUUAAUUCGGCGUUCAAUAUAGCAGCAGGUGAAUACGUUCCCCUGUCCUUGCAACACACCCGCCCGUCAAACACCACACCCGAGUGAGGUAUCGGGUAAGAGCACGAACGAUUGUUGUUCGUGUUCGAACCUGUGCUUUGCAANGGGGGUAACGGUCGUAACAGUAGCGUAAAUC
Molecule: ribosomal RNA, 1216 nt
Filed under: uncultured archaeon
Lineage: Archaea
Description: bacterial SSU rRNA
Rfam family: Archaeal small subunit ribosomal RNA
Source: RNAcentral